RNAcentral lists this ribosomal RNA (388 nucleotides) under uncultured bacterium. Its description in RNAcentral is "bacterial SSU rRNA". It matches the Rfam family "Bacterial small subunit ribosomal RNA", at positions 28 to 416 of the family's 1533-position model. The record is from RNAcentral.
GACGAACGCUGGCGGCGUGCUUAACACAUGCAAGUCGAGCGGUAAGGCCCUUUCGGGGGUACGACGAGCGGCGAACGGGUGAGUAACACGUGGGUGACCUGCCCUCAGCUCUGGGAUAAGCCUGGGAAACUGGGGUCUAAUACCGGGAUAUGACUCCAUGACGCAUGUUGUGGGGUGGAAAGCCUUGUGCGGCUAGGGAUGGGCCUGCGGCCUAUCAGCUUGUUGGUGGGGUGAGGCCUACCAAGGCGACGACGGGUAGCCGGCCUGAGAGGGCGACCGGCCACACUGGGACUGAGACACGGCCCAGACUCCUACGGGAGGCAGCAGUGGGGAAUCUUGCGCAAUGGGCGAAAGCCUGACGCAGCGACGCCGCGUGGGGAUGACGGCC